GCUGGUCACGGCCAGUAUAAACAGACAUUAAGCCGUGAGCGUCUCCUGUUCUGUGAACGGGAGGGUUGUA
Molecule: ribozyme, 70 nt
Filed under: unclassified sequences
Also listed under: 1 other name
Description: pistol ribozyme
Rfam family: Pistol ribozyme
Source: RNAcentral